UUAUUUUUAUAAAUUUUACAUACUAUUUAGAUCAAUUGUCAUUGAUUUAGAUAGUGAAUUUAAUGUUUCAAAAUGGACGGUAAAUAUAUUUAUAUAUAUAUAUAUCAUAUCAAAUCCUAUCAUAUCAUAUCUCCUAUAUUUUAAAUUAUGCAUAUUAUUUUACGUGAUACGUGAUAAAAGCGUGCCUUCUGUUGAGGCAACAGAGCUACGCUAAAGGGAUGGGGUGGGGAUUUUAAAUUGCUAUAUUUUAUGUUUUCAGCACAGUUUAUUGAUUUAAAGUUUUGAAAAAGUGUCCUCUAUUCAUAAUAUUUAUAAUAUGGAUAAAUUGAGAAGGAAUUUAUUUGAGUUUAAUUAAAAGUCCAAAAAUAUUUUACUUAUAAAUACAAAUUGUAAAGACUACAGCAUAUCUAUAUACAAUCUUUCAAUUUAUAUUUUGAAUAUUCAAUGGGAAACCUGAACAAAAUACUGCUAAUAGCUAUAGGAAAUCAUAAGCAUAUUAUAUAAUCAAAGUUGAGGACAAGAAUAAAUAAUAAACAAAAGUUUUAGAACAUGAAACAACUUAUGACAUGUCCUUUAAAAAAAUGAACAUUAAUUUAUAAUAUGUUUGGAUGAUUAUUGUUUUAAUAAAUAAAAUUGAAUUGUAUGUUUUGUAUAGGAUUUGAUAAAUCAAUACUUUUUUAAUUUUUAAAUAAUAAAAUUUUGACUAAUGAUGCAAUGUAAAUUUGAAUUUUUUUAAGUAUGAUAUAUAUAUAUAUUUGACUCAAUAUCUUAUGCUAUUAUAUAGAAUUUAUAGUUCAUGUAUUUAGAGCAAAAUAAA
This is a long non-coding RNA of Gordionus sp. m RMFG-2023, 817 nucleotides long. RefSeq lists it as uncharacterized. The transcript is spliced from 3 exons. Lineage: Eukaryota; Metazoa; Nematomorpha; Gordioida; Chordodea; Parachordodidae. The record is from RefSeq and is a predicted model, not a curated record.